AAAGAUGGCUUCGGCUAUCGUUUAGGGAUGAGCUUGCGGCCCAUUAGCUUGUUGGUGAGGUAACGGCUCACCAAGGCGACGAUGGGUAGCCGACCUGAGAGGGUGAUCGGCCACAUUGGGACUGAGAUACGGCCCAGACUCCUACGGGAGGCAGCAGUAGGGAAUUUUGCGCAAUGGACGAAAGUCUGACGCAGCGACGCCGCGUGAGGGAUGACGGCCUUCGGGUUGUAAACCUCUGUUGAGUGGGACGAAAACUCGCAGGGUUAAUACCCCUGCGACCUGACGGUACCACUCGAGGAAGCUCCGGCUAACUACGUGCCAGCAGCCGCGGUAAUACGUAGGGAGCAAGCGUUGUUCGGAAUCACUGGGCGUAAAGGGAGUGUAGGCGGGAAAGUAAGUUAGGAGUGAAAUACACAGGCUUAACCUGUGGCCCGCUCUUAAUACUGCUUUUCUUGAGUAUGGGAGAGGAAGAUGGAAUUCCAGGUGUAGCGGUGGAAUGCGUAGAUAUCUGGAAGAACACCAGUAGCGAAGGCGGUCUUCUGGCCCAAUACUGACGCUGAGGCUCGAAAGCUAGGGGAGCAAACAGGAUUAGAUACCCUGGUAGUCCUAGCCGUAAACGAUGGACACUAGUUGUCGGGGGAGUCAAUCCCUCCGGUGACGAAGCUAACGCAUUAAGUGUCCCGCCUGGGGAGUACGCUCGCAAGGGUGAAACUCAAAGGAAUUGACGGGGGCCCGCACAAGCGGUGGAGCAUGUGCUUUAAUUCGAUGCAACGCGAAGAACCUUACCUGGGUUUGACAUGGGGGUGAAAGUAACCAGAGAUGGAUACCUUUCCUUCAGGAACACCCCACACAGGUGCUGCAUGGUUGUCGUCAGCUCGUGUCGUGAGAUGUUGGGUUAAGUCCCGCAACGAGCGCAACCCCUACCCUUAGUUGCCAGCGGGUUAUGCCGGGAACUCUAGGGGGACUGCCUGGACUAACCAGGAGGAAGGUGGGGAUGACGUCAAAUCCUCAUGGCCCU
Molecule: ribosomal RNA, 1018 nt
Filed under: uncultured organism
Description: bacterial SSU rRNA
Rfam family: Bacterial small subunit ribosomal RNA
Source: RNAcentral